UCUCUCCUUAAACAAUUACUCUUAAAAGUGGCUGCUGUGUCACAUGUGCCUCAGUAGGUGGCAGAGAAGAUAAAGGCCAUGUCUGUGCUCAGUUUUCUGACCUCAGAACAUCGGAUGAUUGUAGCCUACCAUU
Molecule: small nucleolar RNA, 133 nt
Organism: Meriones unguiculatus (Mongolian gerbil)
Lineage: Eukaryota; Metazoa; Chordata; Mammalia; Rodentia; Muridae
Source: Ensembl